RNAcentral lists this ribosomal RNA (422 nucleotides) under uncultured bacterium. Its description in RNAcentral is "bacterial SSU rRNA". It matches the Rfam family "Bacterial small subunit ribosomal RNA", at positions 356 to 773 of the family's 1533-position model. The record is from RNAcentral.
CGGGAAUUUUGGGCAAUGGGCGAAAGCCUGACCCAGCAACGCCGCGUGAAGGAUGAAAUCCUUCGGGAUGUAAACUUCGCAAGAACGGGAAGAAUAAGUAAGAGUUAAUAUCUCUUACGAUGACGGUACUCUUUGUAAGCUCCGGCUAACUCCGUUCCAGCAGCCGCGGUAAUACGUAGGGUGCAAGCGUUAAUCGGAAUUACUGGGCGUAAAGCGUGCGCAGGCGGUUAUGUAAGACAGGUGUGAAAUCCCAGGGCUUAACCUUGGAACUGCAUUUGUGACUGCAUAGCUAGAGUACGGUAGAGGGGGAUGGAAUUCCGCGUGUAGCAGUGAAAUGCGUAGAUAUGCGGAGGAACACCGAUGGCGAAGGCAAUCCCCUGGACCUGUACUGACGCUCAUGCACGAAGGCGUGGGGAGCAAAC